GUGAAGAAGAAAGAUUUUGGUGAAAAGGUAAGAAAUAGCGAUGACCUUCGUUUUCAUUUUCCGGGAUGCAUCUGUUCUGAAUUGCUGCAUCCUUUUCGGAUUCAUCUUUGUUUUGCCUCCCACCACUUCUUCAUCCUUUCUCCCCCC
Molecule: non-coding RNA, 147 nt
Organism: Caenorhabditis elegans
Lineage: Eukaryota; Metazoa; Nematoda; Chromadorea; Rhabditida; Rhabditidae
Source: Ensembl